This 459-nucleotide ribosomal RNA is filed under the name uncultured bacterium. RNAcentral's name for it is "partial 16S ribosomal RNA". It matches the Rfam family "Bacterial small subunit ribosomal RNA", at positions 339 to 795 of the family's 1533-position model. The record is from RNAcentral.
CUACGGGUGGCUCCAGUAAGGAAUAUUGCGCAAUGGAGGCAACUCUGACGCAGCCAUGCCGCGUGCAGGAAGAAGGCCUUAUGGGUCGUAAACUGCUUUUAUUUAGGAAUAAACCCCCGAACGUGUUCGGGGCUGAAGGUACUAAACGAAUAAGCACCGGCUAACUCCGUGCCAGCAGCCGCGGUAAUACGGAGGGUGCAAGCGUUAUCCGGAUUUAUUGGGUUUAAAGGGUGCGCAGGCGGGCUAUUAAGUCAGUGGUGAAAUCCCGGGGCUCAACUCCGGAACUGCCAUUGAUACUGAUAGUCUUGAGUUUGGUUGAAGUGGGCGGAAUGUAGCAUGUAGCGGUGAAAUGCAUAGAUAUGCUACAGAACACCAAUCGUGAAAGCAGCUCACUAAGCCAAAACUGACGCUCAUGCACGAAAGCGUGGGGAUCAAACAGGAUUAGAUACCCUGGUAGUC